CAUGAAGCUGGAAUCGCUAGUAAUCGCGGAUCAGAAUGCCGCGGUGAAUACGUUCCCGGGUCUUGUACACACCGCCCGUCACACCAUGGGAGUCGGAAAUGCCCGAAGUCUGUGACCCAACCAUUAAGGAGGGAGCAGGCCGAAGGCAGGUCGGAUGACUGGGGUGAAGUCGUAACAAGGUAAC
Molecule: ribosomal RNA, 184 nt
Filed under: uncultured bacterium
Lineage: Bacteria
Description: partial 16S ribosomal RNA
Rfam family: Bacterial small subunit ribosomal RNA
Source: RNAcentral